RNAcentral lists this ribosomal RNA (274 nucleotides) under uncultured bacterium. RNAcentral describes it as "partial 16S ribosomal RNA". It matches the Rfam family "Bacterial small subunit ribosomal RNA", at positions 523 to 796 of the family's 1533-position model. The record is from RNAcentral.
AUACGGAGGGUGCAAGCGUUGUUCGGAAUUAUUGGGCGUAAAGCGCGUGUAGGCGGUCUGUUAAGUCUGGUGUGAAAGCCCUGGGCUCAACCCAGGAAGUGCAUUGGAUACUGGCAGACUUGAGUAUGGGAGAGGAAAGUGGAAUUCCGAGUGUAGGGGUGAAAUCCGUAGAUAUUCGGAGGAACACCAGUGGCGAAGGCGGCUUUCUGGACCAAUACUGACGCUGAGACGCGAAAGCGUGGGGAGCAAACAGGAUUAGAAACCCCAGUAGUCC